RNAcentral lists this ribosomal RNA (639 nucleotides) under uncultured prokaryote. RNAcentral describes it as "bacterial SSU rRNA". It matches the Rfam family "Bacterial small subunit ribosomal RNA", at positions 28 to 685 of the family's 1533-position model. The record is from RNAcentral.
GAUGAACGCUGACAGAAUGCUUAACACAUGCAAGUCGAUUCGAUUUACCUUCGGGUAUUGAGGAUGGCGGACGGGUGAGUAACGCGUAAGGAACUUGCCUCUUGGUCUGGGACAACUGUUGGAAACGACAGCUAAUACCGGAUAUUAUGAGAUUCUCGCAUGGGAAACUUAUGAAAGCUAUAUGCGCCAAGAGAGAGCCUUGCGUUCCAUUAGCUAGUUGGUGGGGUAACGGCCCACCAAGGCGACGAUGGAUAGCCGGCCUGAGAGGGUGAACGGCCACAAGGGGACUGAGACACGGCCCUUACUCCUACGGGAGGCAGCAGUGGGGAAUAUUGGACAAUGGGCCACAAGCCUGAUCCAGCAAUUCUGUGUGCACGAUGAAGGUCUUCGGAUUGUAAAGUGCUUUCAGUUGGGAAGAAGAAAGUGACGGUACCAACAGAAGAAGCGACGGCUAAAUACGUGCCAGCAGCCGCGGUAAUACGUAUGUCGCAAGCGUUAUCCGGAUUUAUUGGGCGUAAAGCGCGUCUAGGCGGAAAAAUAAGUCUGAUGUUAAAAUGCGGGGCUCAACUCCGUAUUGCGUUGGAAACUGUUUUUCUAGAGUACUGGAGAGGUGGGCGGAACUACNAGUGUAGAGGUGAA